Molecule: ribosomal RNA, 834 nt
Filed under: uncultured bacterium
Lineage: Bacteria
Description: bacterial SSU rRNA
Rfam family: Bacterial small subunit ribosomal RNA
Source: RNAcentral
GGUGAGUAAUGCCUAGGAAUCUGCCUGGUAGUGGGGGACAACGUUUCGAAAGGAACGCUAAUACCGCAUACGUCCUAAGGGAGAAAGCAGGGGACCUUCGGGCCUUGCGCUAUCAGAUGAGCCUAGGUCGGAUUAGCUUGUUGGUGAGGUAAUGGCUCACCAAGGCGACGAUCCGUAACUGGUCUGAGAGGAUGAUCAGUCACACUGGAACUGAGACACGGUCCAGACUCCUACGGGAGGCAGCAGUGGGGAAUAUUGGACAAUGGGCGAAAGCCUGAUCCAGCCAUGCCGCGUGUGUGAAGAAGGUCUUCGGAUUGUAAAGCACUUUAAGUUGGGAGGAAGGGUUGUAGAUUAAUACUCUGCAAUUUUGACGUUACCGACAGAAUAAGCACCGGCUAACUCUGUGCCAGCAGCCGCGGUAAUACAGAGGGUGCAAGCGUUAAUCGGAAUUACUGGGCGUAAAGCGCGCGUAGGUGGUUUGUUAAGUUGGAUGUGAAAGCCCCGGGCUCAACCUGGGAACUGCAUCCAAAACUGGCAAGCUAGAGUACGGUAGAGGGUGGUGGAAUUUCCUGUGUAGCGGUGAGAUGCGUAGAUAUAGGAAGGAACACCAGUGGCGAAGGCGACCACCUGGACUGAUACUGACACUGAGGUGCGAAAGCGUGGGGAGCAAACAGGAUUAGAUACCCUGGUAGUCCACGCCGUAAACGAUGUCAACUAGCCGUUGGAAUCCUUGAGAUUUUAGUGGCGCAGCUAACGCAUUAAGUUGACCGCCUGGGGAGUACGGCCGCAAGGUUAAAACUCAAAUGAAUUGACGGGGGCCCGCACAAGCGGUGG